This 661-nucleotide ribosomal RNA is filed under the name uncultured bacterium. Its description in RNAcentral is "bacterial SSU rRNA". It matches the Rfam family "Bacterial small subunit ribosomal RNA", at positions 8 to 671 of the family's 1533-position model. The record is from RNAcentral.
AGAGUUUGAUCCUGGCUCAGAUUGAACGCUGGCGGCUUGCUUUACACAUGCAAGUCGAAGGGGGGUGGGGCAACCCUCUUCAGUGGCGAACGGGUGAGUAAUGUAUCGGAACGUAUCCUUAGGUGGGGGAUAACUCCGAGAAAUCGGAGCUAAUACCGCAUGAGAUCUGAGGAUGAAAGCGGGGGACCGUAAGGCCUCGCGCUUGAGGAGCGGCCGAUAUCUGAUUAGCUAGUUGGUGGGGUAACGGCCUACCAAGGCUGCGAUCAGUAGCUGGUCUGAGAGGAUGAUCACCCACACUGGGACUGAGACACGGCCCACACUCCUACGGGAGGCAGCAGUGGGGAAUUUGGACAAUGGGCGCAAGCCUGAUCCAGCCAUGCCGCGUGAGUGAAGAAGGCCUUCGGGUUGUAAAGCUCUUUCGGACAGAAAGAAAUCGCCUGGGCAAAUACCCUGGGUGGAUGACGGUACCGUAAGAAGAAGCACCGGCUAACUACGUGCCAGCAGCCGCGGUAAUACGUGAGGUGCGAGCGUUAAUCGGAAUUACUGGGCGUAAAGCGUGCGCAGGCGGUGAUUUAAGUCAGAUGUGAAAGCCCCGGGCUUAACCUGAGAACUGCGUUUGAAACUGGAUCGCUAGAGUUAGCGGAGGGGGGGUAAAAUUCCC